Molecule: transfer RNA, 75 nt
Filed under: Candidatus Magasanikbacteria bacterium RIFOXYC12_FULL_32_21b
Lineage: Bacteria; Candidatus Magasanikiibacteriota
Also listed under: 1 other name
Description: tRNA-Asn
Rfam family: tRNA
About the family: Transfer RNA (tRNA) molecules are approximately 80 nucleotides in length. Their secondary structure includes four short double-helical elements and three loops (D, anti-codon, and T loops).
Source: RNAcentral
UCCCAGAUAGUUCAGUGGUAGAACGCAGCGCUGUUAACGCUGAUGUCGUAGGUUCGAAUCCUACUCUGGGAGCUA